RNAcentral lists this long non-coding RNA (399 nucleotides) under Panax ginseng (ginseng). Its description in RNAcentral is "long non-coding RNA (PGIN_LNC015115)". Lineage: Eukaryota; Viridiplantae; Streptophyta; Magnoliopsida; Apiales; Araliaceae. The record is from RNAcentral.
AUUCUCCUUCGUGAGGGGACGAAUGGGGUCUGUCCUUCUCACGUUCGGGAAUCUCGUCUUUCCUCCUCUGCCCAGACCGACCCGGGUGCUCGGAACGUCGUCCUGCUGACCGGCUUCUUCUCCGGCUUCGGCCAUCCCUCGAACGACUUCGAUACCUACUUCUCUCCCUUUCAGCCCCUUCCCUUCGGGGUGACCGAGACCGGCUAUGGUGCCUGCGCCUCUUAGAGGACGCCUCUUCCUCACCGAGCGCGUUGGCCAUCUGCAGUUCGAGCUCUUCCUGCUGAAGACGUAGGGUCAUUAUGGCAUCUUUGUUUUGCUGCAUCUUUUUCUGCAGGAUGAAUUCUCUCUGAUCUCGACUACCCUGGCUACGACUCUUUUCCCGCGCCUCCAGCGCUCGCG